This 2927-nucleotide ribosomal RNA is filed under the name Escherichia coli. Its description in RNAcentral is "23S ribosomal RNA". It matches the Rfam family "Bacterial large subunit ribosomal RNA". Lineage: Bacteria; Pseudomonadati; Pseudomonadota; Gammaproteobacteria; Enterobacterales; Enterobacteriaceae. The record is from RNAcentral.
GGGUUGUGAGGUUAAGCGACUAAGCGUACACGGUGGAUGCCCUGGCAGUCAGAGGCGAUGAAGGACGUGCUAAUCUGCGAUAAGCGUCGGUAAGGUGAUAUGAACCGUUAUAACCGGCGAUUUCCGAAUGGGGAAACCCAGUGUGUUUCGACACACUAUCAUUAACUGAAUCCAUAGGUUAAUGAGGCGAACCGGGGAACUGAAACAUCUAAGUACCCCGAGGAAAAGAAAUCAACCGAGAUUCCCCCAGUAGCGGCGAGCGAACGGGGAGCAGCCCAGAGCCUGAAUCAGUGUGUGUGUUAGUGGAAGCGUCUGGAAAGGCGCGCGAUACAGGGUGACAGCCCCGUACACAAAAAUGCACAUGCUGUGAGCUCGAUGAGUAGGGCGGGACACGUGGUAUCCUGUCUGAAUAUGGGGGGACCAUCCUCCAAGGCUAAAUACUCCUGACUGACCGAUAGUGAACCAGUACCGUGAGGGAAAGGCGAAAAGAACCCCGGCGAGGGAGUGAAAAAGAACCUGAAACCGUGUACGUACAAGCAGUGGGAGCCUCUUUUAUGGGGUGACUGCGUACCUUUUGUAUAAUGGGUCAGCGACUUAUAUUCUGUAGCAAGGUUAACCGAAUAGGGGAGCCGAAGGGAAACCGAGUCUUAACUGGGCGUUAAGUUGCAGGGUAUAGACCCGAAACCCGGUGAUCUAGCCAUGGGCAGGUUGAAGGUUGGGUAACACUAACUGGAGGACCGAACCGACUAAUGUUGAAAAAUUAGCGGAUGACUUGUGGCUGGGGGUGAAAGGCCAAUCAAACCGGGAGAUAGCUGGUUCUCCCCGAAAGCUAUUUAGGUAGCGCCUCGUGAAUUCAUCUCCGGGGUAGAGCACUGUUUCGGCAAGGGGGUCAUCCCGACUUACCAACCCGAUGCAAACUGCGAAUACCGGAGAAUGUUAUCACGGGAGACACACGGCGGGUGCUAACGUCCGUCGUGAAGAGGGAAACAACCCAGACCGCCAGCUAAGGUCCCAAAGUCAUGGUUAAGUGGGAAACGAUGUGGGAAGGCCCAGACAGCCAGGAUGUUGGCUUAGAAGCAGCCAUCAUUUAAAGAAAGCGUAAUAGCUCACUGGUCGAGUCGGCCUGCGCGGAAGAUGUAACGGGGCUAAACCAUGCACCGAAGCUGCGGCAGCGACGCUUAUGCGUUGUUGGGUAGGGGAGCGUUCUGUAAGCCUGUGAAGGUGUGCUGUGAGGCAUGCUGGAGGUAUCAGAAGUGCGAAUGCUGACAUAAGUAACGAUAAAGCGGGUGAAAAGCCCGCUCGCCGGAAGACCAAGGGUUCCUGUCCAACGUUAAUCGGGGCAGGGUGAGUCGACCCCUAAGGCGAGGCCGAAAGGCGUAGUCGAUGGGAAACAGGUUAAUAUUCCUGUACUUGGUGUUACUGCGAAGGGGGACGGAGAAGGCUAUGUUGGCCGGGCGACGGUUGUCCCGGUUUAAGCGUGUAGGCUGGUUUUCCAGGCAAAUCCGGAAAAUCAAGGCUGAGGCGUGAUGACGAGGCACUACGGUGCUGAAGCAACAAAUGCCCUGCUUCCAGGAAAAGCCUCUAAGCAUCAGGUAACAUCAAAUCGUACCCCAAACCGACACAGGUGGUCAGGUAGAGAAUACCAAGGCGCUUGAGAGAACUCGGGUGAAGGAACUAGGCAAAAUGGUGCCGUAACUUCGGGAGAAGGCACGCUGAUAUGUAGGUGAAGCGACUUGCUCGUGGAGCUGAAAUCAGUCGAAGAUACCAGCUGGCUGCAACUGUUUAUUAAAAACACAGCACUGUGCAAACACGAAAGUGGACGUAUACGGUGUGACGCCUGCCCGGUGCCGGAAGGUUAAUUGAUGGGGUUAGCGCAAGCGAAGCUCUUGAUCGAAGCCCCGGUAAACGGCGGCCGUAACUAUAACGGUCCUAAGGUAGCGAAAUUCCUUGUCGGGUAAGUUCCGACCUGCACGAAUGGCGUAAUGAUGGCCAGGCUGUCUCCACCCGAGACUCAGUGAAAUUGAACUCGCUGUGAAGAUGCAGUGUACCCGCGGCAAGACGGAAAGACCCCGUGAACCUUUACUAUAGCUUGACACUGAACAUUGAGCCUUGAUGUGUAGGAUAGGUGGGAGGCUUUGAAGUGUGGACGCCAGUCUGCAUGGAGCCGACCUUGAAAUACCACCCUUUAAUGUUUGAUGUUCUAACGUUGACCCGUAAUCCGGGUUGCGGACAGUGUCUGGUGGGUAGUUUGACUGGGGCGGUCUCCUCCUAAAGAGUAACGGAGGAGCACGAAGGUUGGCUAAUCCUGGUCGGACAUCAGGAGGUUAGUGCAAUGGCAUAAGCCAGCUUGACUGCGAGCGUGACGGCGCGAGCAGGUGCGAAAGCAGGUCAUAGUGAUCCGGUGGUUCUGAAUGGAAGGGCCAUCGCUCAACGGAUAAAAGGUACUCCGGGGAUAACAGGCUGAUACCGCCCAAGAGUUCAUAUCGACGGCGGUGUUUGGCACCUCGAUGUCGGCUCAUCACAUCCUGGGGCUGAAGUAGGUCCCAAGGGUAUGGCUGUUCGCCAUUUAAAGUGGUACGCGAGCUGGGUUUAGAACGUCGUGAGACAGUUCGGUCCCUAUCUGCCGUGGGCGCUGGAGAACUGAGGGGGGCUGCUCCUAGUACGAGAGGACCGGAGUGGACGCAUCACUGGUGUUCGGGUUGUCAUGCCAAUGGCACUGCCCGGUAGCUAAAUGCGGAAGAGAUAAGUGCUGAAAGCAUCUAAGCACGAAACUUGCCCCGAGAUGAGUUCUCCCUGACUCCUUGAGAGUCCUGAAGGAACGUUGAAGACGACGACGUUGAUAGGCCGGGUGUGUAAGCGCAGCGAUGCGUUGAGCUAACCGGUACUAAUGAACCGUGAGGCUUAACCUUACAACGCCGAAGGUGUUU